This 428-nucleotide ribosomal RNA is filed under the name uncultured bacterium. Its description in RNAcentral is "bacterial SSU rRNA". It matches the Rfam family "Bacterial small subunit ribosomal RNA", at positions 917 to 1344 of the family's 1533-position model. The record is from RNAcentral.
GGGCCCGCACAAGCGGUGGAGCAUGUGGUUUAAUUCGAUGCAACGCGAAGAACCUUACCAGGUCUUGACAUCCUCGGAACUUGGCAGAGAUGCCUUGGUGCCUUCGGGAGCCGAGUGACAGGUGCUGCAUGGCCGUCGUCAGCUCGUGUCGUGAGAUGUUGGGUUAAGUCCCGUAACGAGCGCAACCCUUGUCCUUAGUUGCCAGCACGUCAUGGUGGGAACUCUAGGGAGACUGCCGGUGACAAACCGGAGGAAGGUGGGGACGACGUCAGGUCAUCAUGGCCCUUACGACCUGGGCUACACACGUGCUACAAUGGCUGGUACAGAGGGUUGCGAAGUCGCGAGGCCGAGCAAAUCCCUUAAAACCGUUCGUAGUCCGGAUUGGAGUCUGCAACUCGACUCCAUGAAGUCGGAAUCGCUAGUAAUCG